AGUGAACACUGGCGGCGUGCUUAACACAUGCAAGUCGAACGAGAACGGAUUAUAGCUUGCUAUAAUUGUCAGCUAAGUGGCGCACGGGUGAGUAAUGUAUAGGUAAUAUGCCUCUUACUAAGGGAUAACAAAUGGAAACGUUUGCUAAUACCUUAUACUCCAUAUUAACAGAAGGUAAUAAUGGAAAGAUUUAUUGGUAAGAGAUUAGCCUGUAUUGUAUCAGUUAGUUGGUGGGGUAAUGGCUUACCAAGACUAUGACACAUAACUGGUUUGAGAGGAUGAUCAGUCACACUGGAACUGAGACACGGUCCAGACUCCUACGGGAGGCAGCAGUGGGGAAUAUUGCACAAUGGACGAAAGUCUGAUGCAGCAACGCCGCGUGGAGGAUGACACAUUUCGGUGCGUAAACUCCUUUUAUAUGAGAAGAUAAUGACGGUAUUAUAUGAAUAAGCACCGGCUAACUCCGUGCCAGCAGCCGCGGUAA
RNAcentral lists this ribosomal RNA (484 nucleotides) under uncultured bacterium. Its description in RNAcentral is "partial 16S ribosomal RNA". It matches the Rfam family "Bacterial small subunit ribosomal RNA", at positions 29 to 523 of the family's 1533-position model. The record is from RNAcentral.